This 781-nucleotide ribosomal RNA is filed under the name uncultured bacterium. RNAcentral's name for it is "bacterial SSU rRNA". It matches the Rfam family "Bacterial small subunit ribosomal RNA", at positions 8 to 794 of the family's 1533-position model. The record is from RNAcentral.
AGAGUUUGAUCAUGGCUCAGGACGAACGCUGGCGGCGUGCUUAACACAUGCAAGUCGAACGGAAAGGCCCAUACUUUGUGUGGGUGCUCGAGUGGCGAACGGGUGAGUAACACGUGGGUGAUCUGCCUUGUACUCUGGGAUAAGCCUGGGAAACUGGGUCUAAUACUGGAUAGGACUGCAUCGUAGGUGGUGUGGUGGAAAGAUUUUUUGGUAUGAGAUGAGCCCGCGGCCUAUCAGCUUGUUGGUGGGGUAAUGGCCUACCAAGGCGGCGACGGGUAGCCGGCCUGAGAGGGUGGACGGCCACAUUGGGACUGAGAUACGGCCCAGACUCCUACGGGAGGCAGCAGUGGGGAAUAUUGCACAAUGGGCGCAAGCCUGAUGCAGCGACGCCGCGUGGAGGAUGACGGCCUUCGGGUUGUAAACUCCUUUCGCUAGGGACGAAGCCAUGUUUGUGGUGACGGUACCUGGAUAAGAAGCACCGGCUAACUACGUGCCAGCAGCCGCGGUAAUACGUAGGGUGCGAGCGUUGUCCGGAAUUACUGGGCGUAAAGAGCUCGUAGGUGGUUUGUCGCGUCGUCUGUGAAAUUCCGGGGCUUAACUUCGGGCGUGCAGGCGAUACGGGCAUAACUUGAGUGCUGUAGGGGAGACUGGAAUUCCUGGUGUAGCGGUGAAAUGCGCAGAUAUCAGGAGGAACACCGAUGGCGAAGGCAGGUCUCUGGGCAGUAACUGACGCUGAGGAGCGAAAGCAUGGGUAGCGAACAGGAUUAGAUACCCUGGUAGU